ACGAACGCUGGCGGCGUGCCUAAUCCAUGCCAGUAGAACGCUGAAGCUUGGUGCUUGCACCGAGCGGAUGAGUUGCGAACGGGUGAGUAACGCGUAGGUAACCUGCCUGGUAGCGGGGGAUAACUAUUGGAAACGAUAGCUAAUACCGCAUAAGAGUAGAUGUUGCAUGACAUUUGCUUAAAAGGUGCAAUUGCAUCACUACCAGAUGGACCUGCGUUGUAUUAGCUAGUUGGUGAGGUAACGGCUCACCAAGGCAACGAUACAUAGCCGACCUGAGAGGGUGAUCGGCCACACUGGGACUGAGACACGGCCCAGACUCCUACGGGAGGCAGCAGUAGGGAAUCUUCGGCAAUAGACGGAAGUCUGACCGAGCAACGCCGCGUGAGUGAAGAAGGUUUUCGGAUCGUAAAGCUCUGUUGUAAGAGAAGAACGAGUGUGAGAGUGGAAAGUUCACACUGUGACGGUAUCUUACCAGAAAGGGACGGCUAACUACGUG
This 496-nucleotide ribosomal RNA is filed under the name uncultured bacterium. Its description in RNAcentral is "partial 16S ribosomal RNA". It matches the Rfam family "Bacterial small subunit ribosomal RNA", at positions 29 to 507 of the family's 1533-position model. The record is from RNAcentral.